AACGAACGCUGGCGGCAUGCCUAACACAUGCAAGUCGAACGAGACCUUCCGGCUUUUUUGCGCACGGGUGGGUAACGCGUGGUAACCUGCCCGUAAGUUCGGUAUACUUCCCCUAAAGAUGUGCUAAUACCGGAGAAUGUCUUCGGACCAAAGAUUUUUUGCCGUUGGGUGGGCGCUGGUUGGAUUAGCUAGUUGGUAGGGGAAAAGCCUACCAAGGAGACGUUCCUUAGCUGGUCUGAGAGGAUGAUCAGCCAGACUGGGACUGAGACACAGCCCAGACUCGUACGGGAGGGAGCAGUAGGGAAUAUUGGGCACUGGGCGAAAGCGUGAUCCAGCCAUGCCGCGUGAGUGAUGAAGGCCUUAGGAUUGUAAAGCUGUUUUACCCGGGAUGAUAAUGACAGUACCGGGAGAAUAAGCUCCGGCUAACUACGUG
RNAcentral lists this ribosomal RNA (433 nucleotides) under uncultured bacterium. Its description in RNAcentral is "partial 16S ribosomal RNA". It matches the Rfam family "Bacterial small subunit ribosomal RNA", at positions 29 to 507 of the family's 1533-position model. The record is from RNAcentral.